RNAcentral lists this ribosomal RNA (1457 nucleotides) under uncultured prokaryote. RNAcentral describes it as "partial 16S ribosomal RNA". It matches the Rfam family "Bacterial small subunit ribosomal RNA". The record is from RNAcentral.
CUCAGCGCGAACGCUGGCGGCAUUGGCUAAAACAUGCAAGUCGAACGCGAAAGUUUCUUCGGAAACGAGUACAGUGGCGAAAGGGCGAGUAAUGCGGUUCUAACGUGCCCAGAGGUCAGGGAUAGCCCAGGGAAACUUGGAAUAAAACCUGAUAACCCCGCGAAAUCGUAUGGUUUUGCGUGCAAAGGUUUACUGCCUCUGGAUCGGGAAACGUCCUAUCAGCUUGUUGGUGAGGUAAAAGCUCACCAAGGCUAAGACGGCUAGCGGGUGUGAGAGCACGACCCGCCGCAUCGGGACUGAGACACUGCCCGGACUCCUACGGGAGGCUGCAGUAACGAAUAUUCCGCAAUGCGCGAAAGCGUGACGGAGCAAUGCCGCGUGCAGGAUGAAGCCCCUCGGGGUGUAAACUGCUGUCAGGGUACAGGAACACAAUGACCAUACCCAAAGGAAGGGCCGGCUAACUUCGUGCCAGCAGCCGCGGUAAUACGAAGGGCCCGAGCGUUGCGCGGAAUUAUUGGGCUUAAAGGGUGCGCAGGCGGACCCGUAAGUGCCUUGUGAAAUCCCACGGCUCAACCGUGGAAUUGCUUCGUAGACUGCGGGUCUUGAGCUCGGCAGGGGCGGUCGGAACUCUAGGUGGAGCGGUGAAAUGCGUAGAUAUCUAGAGGAACGCCAAAGGUGAAGACAGACCGCUGGGCCGACUCUGACGCUGAGGCACGAAAGCGUGGGUAGCGAACAGGAUUAGAUACCCUGGGAGUCCACGCCGUAAACGAUGUGCAUUAGGUCCUGGAGGUUUUGACGCCAUCGGGGCUGAAGUGAAAAUAUUUAAAUGUACCGCAUGGGGAGUACGGUCGCAAGGCUAAAACUCAAAGGAAUUGACGGGGGCUCACACAAGCGGUGGAGCAUGUGGCUUAAUUCGAAGCAACGCGAAGAACCUUAUCCUGGAUUUGACAUGUAUGGAUUAACCUCGUGAAAGCGAGGCCACGCCCUCUGAGUGAAACGUGCACAGGUGCUGCAUGGCUGUCGUCAGCUCGUGCUGUGAAGUGUCGGGGUAAGUCCCUUAACGAGCGCAACCCCUUGCCGUUAGUUGCCAGCGCGCACUUCGGGUGUCGGGGACUCUAGAGAGACUGCCGGUGUUAAACCGGAGGAAGGUGGGGAUGACGUCAAGUCCUCAUGGCCUUUAUGCCCUGGGCUGCACACGUGCUACAAUGCGGCGUACAGAGCGAAGCAAUACCGCAAGGUGGAGCAAAUCGCACAAAGCGCCGCUCAGUUCGGAUUGUGGUCUGCAACUCGACCACAUGAAGCUGGAAUCGCUAGUAAUCGCGUAUCAGCUACGACGCGGUGAAUACGUUCCUGAGCCUUGUACACACCGCCCGUCAAGUCAUGGAAGCCGGUAGUGCCCGAAGUGGCCCUGAAUCAAGGGUCCCUACGGCAAGAUCGGUGACUGGGACUAAGUCGUA